GCCCCGCGCGCAUCGCCUUAUACCUCCCUGUUGGACUUGGCCGGGCCUCGCGCCCGGUCUUUUUU
RNAcentral lists this non-coding RNA (65 nucleotides) under Sulfitobacter donghicola DSW-25 = KCTC 12864 = JCM 14565. RNAcentral describes it as "Singlet oxygen resistance RNA X". It matches the Rfam family "Singlet oxygen resistance RNA X". From Rfam's summary of the family: SorX (RSs2461)like SorY is a singlet oxygen induced sRNA that counteracts oxidative stress by targeting mRNA for a transporter in Rhodobacter. It also has an impact on resistance against organic hydroperoxides. It targets SD sequence of potA mRNA via an aSD sequence. The record is from Rfam by way of RNAcentral. Lineage: Bacteria; Pseudomonadati; Pseudomonadota; Alphaproteobacteria; Rhodobacterales; Roseobacteraceae.